CAAUCGUCAAUGGAUAGAACAGAAUGUAAAUAAAUUUAGCGUUCUAAGUUUUUACUUUAUUAGACUACAUCAUGCGUAUUAGGGUGUAUAUAUGAGACAUGAAGUUAACAUUGA
RNAcentral lists this non-coding RNA (114 nucleotides) under Arabidopsis thaliana (thale cress). The record is from RNAcentral. Lineage: Eukaryota; Viridiplantae; Streptophyta; Magnoliopsida; Brassicales; Brassicaceae.